This is an RNA transcript of Rosa chinensis, 1852 nucleotides long. It is a transcript of the gene named zinc finger BED domain-containing protein DAYSLEEPER-like, with no coding region annotated. The record is from RefSeq and is a predicted model, not a curated record. NCBI's taxonomy places the organism in Eukaryota, Viridiplantae, Streptophyta, Magnoliopsida, Rosales, Rosaceae. The transcript is spliced from 3 exons.
GUAUAGAGUGUGUCUCACAACGGACACUUGGACUAGUGUCCAAAACAUCAAUUAUAUGGUGCUUACUGCCCAUUUUAUUGAUGUUGAUUGGAAGAUGCACAAGAGGGUUAUAAAUUUUUGUGUUAUCCAAAACCAUCAAGGGGCAACCAUAGGUAGACUUAUAGAGUCUUGUUUGCUGCAGUGGGAGAUUGAGAAGGUCUUGACCAUAACUGUUGAUAAUGCAUCUGCAAAUAAGUCGGCUUUAGAGUGGCUUAGAUCAAAGAUGAAUAAGUGUUCAUCUUACAAAACAGUUUUAGGUGGUAAAUACAUGCAUGUGAGGUGCACAGCUCACAUAACCAAUUUGAUAGGGGGACAUGGCUUGAAGAGGCUGCAAAAGAGUGUUUUAGCCAUUAGGAAUGCUGUCAAGUAUGUUAGGUCUUCACCUAAUAGACUAGAUAGCUUUAGGAAAGCUGUCGAGAAAGAAAAGCUUCCUCUUACAGGGCUGGUUUGUUUAGAUGUCCCAACUAGGUGGAAUUCAACUUAUCUAAUGUUAGAGGCAGCCUUGAAGUUUAAGAAGGCUUUUGCAAGGAUGGAGGAAGAUGAUGAUGAGCUUUAUCUAGGUUAUUUCAAGGAACCAGAGGAGGAAUAUGAUGAGGAAGGCAAUGUCGUUCCUAGUAGGAACAAAAGAAACAGAGUUGGGCCUCCGGAGGAACCAAAUUGGGACAAGGCUGAGGUUUUUGUUGAUUUGCUUAGAGUAUUUUAUGAUGUGACCCUUAGAGUUAGUGCAAGCUUGCAUCCAACUGUGCAUACAACAUUCCAUGAUGUUGUUACCAUGGAGAGAAACAUAGAAAACCUCUUCAUUGCACCCGAGAUGGCAACUGGUUCCGACACUGAAAAUGUAUUAACUGAUAUGGCUGCAAAUAUGAGAAGCAAAUUCUUGAAGUACUAUGGUGGCUUUACAGACCUGAACCACUUGGUUAUUGUUGGACUUGUGCUAGAUGCAAGAUUCAAGCUUAGGAAUUAUUCACAUUUUUUGAAGGAAGAGGGUAUGGAUGAUGUCGAUGUGUAAAGUAGAACCAAUGAGAUUAGAUCUUUGUUAAUGGCGCUAUAUGAUGAGUAUGCACCGAUCAUAGAUGGUGGGAGACAUAUGCAGAGACAUCAAAGCCCUACAAGUUCAGGCAGCACAAUCACAAAUAGAAGCAGCAAUACGAGAGUUGGUGUGCGGGGUCAGUUGCUAAACUCUUGGAGAAAGGUGGUCCAAGAGAGUGAAGAGGCUGUAAUGGCACAUGAAGUUGAUCAAUAUCUAAAUGCUCCCGUAGAGUUUGUUGAGGAGGAGGAAGAUGGCUUCGAUAUUUUGUGUUGGUGGAAGAUAAACGGACCCAAGUUUCCUGUGGUGGCAGCAAUAGCAAGAGAUGUACUUGCUGUUCAAACAUCCACAGUUGCAUCGGAGUCUGCAUUUAGCACUGGAGGGAGAGUUAUUGAUGCUUUUAGGAGUUCAUUGACUCCUAAAACAGUGGAGGCUUUAAUCUGCAUGCAGAAUUGGUUGUUGGGAGAUGAUAUUGCUCAAGAGGUAGAGGAGCCUACAAUUGAGAUCACAGAGUUCUAUGAGCAGGCUGAGAAAGAUCAUGAGAGCACUGCCUCCAGCAGAAAUACACGUUCAACAAUCCCGAAAGCAAAGGGGAAGGGAAAGGCUGCAGUGGUAAAUGUUGACUAAUGAGUUUAUGAGGUUGUGAGACUGAGUGUGAUGAACUGAUGAAGGUUUUUUCAAAUGUGUUUAAUACUUCAAGACUUGUAGUUAACUAGUUUUUAUCAUGUAAUGGUUUGUAGACUUUAAAUUUCUUAUUUCAGACUUUAAUUUCUUGUUUAAGACCUA